GGAGCGGCGGACGGGUUAGUAACGCGUGGGAAUAUACCCUUCACUAUGGAAUAGCCUCGGGAAACUGAGAGUAAUACCAUAUACGCCCUUCGGGGGAAAGAUUUAUCGGUGAAGGAUUAGCCCGCGUAAGAUUAGAUAGUUGGUGGGGUAAUGGCCUACCAAGUCUACGAUCUUUAGCUGGUUUUAGAGGAUGAUCAGCAACACUGGGACUGAGACACGGCCCAGACUCCUACGGGAGGCAGCAGUGGGGAAUCUUAGACAAUGGGCGAAAGCCUGAUCUAGCCAUGCCGCGUGAGUGAUGAAGGUCUUAGGAUCGUAAAGCUCUUUCGCUAGGGAUGAUAAUGACAGUACCUAGUAAAGAAGCCCCGGCUAACUCCGUGCCAGCAGCCGCGGUAAUACGGAGGGGGCUAGCGUUGUUCGGAAUUACUGGGCGUAAAGCGUACGUAGGCGGAUCAGAAAGUAUGGGGUGAAAUCCCAGGGCUUAACCCUGGAACUGCCUCAUAAACUCCUGGUCUUGAGUUCGAGAGAGGUGAGUGGAAUUCCAAGUGUAGAGGUGAAAUUCGUAGAUAUUUGGAGGAACACCAGUGGCGAAGGCGGCUCACUGGCUCGAUACUGACGCUGAGGUACGAAAGUGUGGGGAGCAAACAGGAUUAGAUACCCUGGUAGUCCACACCGUAAACGAUGAAUGCCAGUCGUCGGG
RNAcentral lists this ribosomal RNA (700 nucleotides) under uncultured bacterium. Its description in RNAcentral is "bacterial SSU rRNA". It matches the Rfam family "Bacterial small subunit ribosomal RNA", at positions 92 to 827 of the family's 1533-position model. The record is from RNAcentral.